Molecule: long non-coding RNA, 583 nt
Filed under: Macaca mulatta (Rhesus monkey)
Lineage: Eukaryota; Metazoa; Chordata; Mammalia; Primates; Cercopithecidae
Description: lncRNA (ENSMMUG00000064625.1)
Source: RNAcentral
GACAACGAUUCCAGAGGACUUUGGGAGAAAAUAUGAUCCAUUUUGCAGAUAUCUACCAUAGAAAAUGAGCUGCUUUAAUAGAAGGGGUGAUCCACUGAAAGUUGAGUUAGUCAAGAUUAACAAAUAGCUGCCAAUAUUCUCACAUUCUUGUAUAACUGUGAUAGUCAUUGAAAACUCUUCACAAAAUAUUUUUAUUCUCAUUCCAGAUACCAAAUGCAUUAAUUUUCCUCUGUAAACAAUUUGGACUGAACCACACAUAUUUUGAUAUGUGGAACUUUAUGUUCAUCUUCCAGAAGACCAUGCAAACAGUUCUAAAUUCUACUUUCAACAAAUGAUUAUUUUAAAAAGUAACAUUCCAAUGGCAUUUUAAUUUCUUUUUUGUUGUUGUUGUUUGCUUAAACUUUGGACUUACCUUCAAGUUUAAUUGUAUUGUUUUAAGAUGUAGCACAUACCUUCUUUUCAAAUUUAUCAUAAUUUUAUUACGGCUCAGUGUGUCAUAAGCUUAUUAAAAAUUCCCUAUUAAGAAGGUGGAUUUAAUUUGUAUUGCAUAUAAAAUCUGACAAAUAUAUACUAACACACAUAU